UACGCCCAUUGUUGUAUAUGACGAUCCGGUGUGCAAGUCAGACACAUGUGCUUUAUCGGUGCGACGCGACUGACCGAAGAGUCGCACCGAGGAAUUAAAUGUGUGUUUAGGCCGGUGACGGAAGGGGCCCAGGUAGCAUUCCAUCGGUUUACAAGGAUGUAAUAGCGAAAUAAAAGGGAAUAAUAAAAUUUUAUUGGCCCCAAUUGAUGGUCGGGCGUGAGAGCCCUCCAUGGCCAUACUGAUCCAAGAGGGAUAAACCGCCCGGACGAAGAUCAAUGGCAAUACAGCUCUCUACCAAGAAAUAAAUUUUAUUAGGUCCAAUCUUAGUCAAUUCGUGCGUUGUGAUUUUCGUAAAAACGGAUUUUUAUUUCCAAUAUAAUUUAUUUUUUAACAACAAAAAGAUUUACCUUCUCGAAAAAAUCUUGUCAGUAUUUAGCGAACCUUUCGCCUUAAAUGUUGCAAUCGGAUAUUUCACAUUAACAUCGAGGAGUACUGAAUCCAACAGAUCCCAUCGACUAAGAAAAUUUUUUUGCUAUCAGCCCCUUUUGAAAUGAACUGAGAGAGGAAUAGGGCGAGGUGUGAUACGUGUCGUUUUCUACUGAAUCUAAAUGGCUGUUUCUCUGUGAUCAUCUCUGUGAUAGACAUCGUUCAGGCAGUUUGUGAACGUAGCAUGAGAGACGAGAGUGGAUGCAAAUCAAAACCGAUUUCAUCUGUAAAAAACGUCAGGGCCAAACCAGGGAACUGGGCAUAAAAGGUCAUCGGACCAAUAAACCAAAAAUAUCAAACUUUUUAAGAUGUCGCCAAACUUAUUUUCUUAUGCACUCGUUGAUGACGUAAAUCCGUGUA
This is a long non-coding RNA of Cimex lectularius (bed bug), 846 nucleotides long. RefSeq lists it as uncharacterized. The transcript has 3 exons. Lineage: Eukaryota; Metazoa; Arthropoda; Insecta; Hemiptera; Cimicidae. The record is from RefSeq and is a predicted model, not a curated record.